AGUAGCAGAAAUAAAUAAAGAGGUAAUGUAAUAACAAAUGAAAAUUUCAAAUUGUAAUUAGUUUACUAAACACAUUUAAUAACGGAUCAGAGGUACCAUCAAGCGUGGUGGCUUAGUGAUAUAAGCUUUUGGUGUUGGAUGCAUUCAACCUUGGUUCGACUCCCCACUUCAGUGUUGACUAAAGAUUGUCUUCACUUGAUAUGAAUGGGUGAAUUGACUGCAGAUUGUCUGUACUUUUGACGUCUUAUAAUUCACUAUGACUCAAUGGUAAGUCCUCUAUUAAGUGAGGUUAAAUUAGGGGUUAUGAAACCAUUUAACAGUGGACCUUGGAUGU
This 334-nucleotide unclassified non-coding RNA is filed under the name Hevea brasiliensis (rubber tree). The record is from RNAcentral. Lineage: Eukaryota; Viridiplantae; Streptophyta; Magnoliopsida; Malpighiales; Euphorbiaceae.